Non-coding RNA from Oryzias latipes (Japanese medaka), 2802 nucleotides. The record is from RefSeq and is a predicted model, not a curated record. NCBI's taxonomy places the organism in Eukaryota, Metazoa, Chordata, Actinopteri, Beloniformes, Adrianichthyidae.
CAGUGUCACUGUUUGCUUCAGCUGCAAACAGUGCAACUGCUCCAGAUGCAUGCUGUGAAAGCUCUUCUUGACGGUGAUACAUUAUUGGACAAAGCUAAAUUGGGCAUCAAAAACUUUUUUUUCAUUAGAUCCUUGAAGCUUUUUUAAAUUUCGUUUUUUGUUUUUUGGGGGGGGGGACUCGUGAAAGAACUUUCAACUCCGUGGACAGUUUGGAUAAAUCUUUUCAGAGAACACCUUGAUGACUGCCAGAGCAUCCACAGAUCACCGCGUCGUUGGUAAUGAUGAAGAGUCACUGCUUUGUUCUGAGAGCUGCUUUAGAAGACUUUCAAAAGGACUGAAAAGUUUUUUUUGAUGAGGAACAAACUCAGAGAUCUUCAUCGUGAGCUGACAAGUCUCCAUUAUGUUUCUGGAGACUCAAGGUUUUUUAGGGUCAUCGUGAAAUUUAAACCUCUUCAGCUUGAGGUUUACUAAAGCAAGUGAAAGAUGGAUAACACGAACACAGAUACUUACUUCCAUCCUCCAGCGGAUCCCUGGAUCCUGGUUGUGUUGGUCAACAUCAUAUUGAUCACGGUGGUGGGAAACCUGCUGGUGAUAAUUGCUGUGGCCCGCACUCCUCAGCUUCAGACUUCCACAAACAUCUUUAUCAUGUCCCUGGCUUGUGCGGAUCUCAUCAUGGGAGUUCUUGUUGUCCCUCUUGGGGCUAGUUACGUGGUGAUAGGUAAAUGGGAACUUGGAACAACGCUGUGUGACAUCUGGACUUCUAUUGACGUUCUUUGUGUGACGGCCAGUAUUGAAACACUUUGUGUCAUUGCGGUGGAUCGAUACAUAGCCAUCACACGGCCGCUUAGACACAAAGUGCUACUGAGCAAGUUGCGUGCUAGAAUAAUAGUUUGUUUAGUGUGGCUUGUGUCCACCUUAAUUUCAUUUGUACCAAUUAUGCAAGGGUAUUGGCAUUCCAGUGAUCACAAAGCAACAGAAUGCUACGGAAAUACUACCUGCUGUGACUUUGUGACCAACCCGUCUUAUGCUAUUUCCUCCUCUAUAGUGUCUUUCUACAUUCCUCUGCUCAUAAUGAUAUUUGUAUACACCAGAGUCUUUGUAAUAGCAGCGCGGCAGGUCAAGCUCAUAGACCGGAGCAGGAUGCGCUUCCAGAACGAGUGUCCUGCAGCUCAGAUUGGUGCCAACAUCUUGCCUUCGGUUUGUUUGAGCUCCAGCAUCUGCAACAGUGCAACGAGGAAAAAGAGCACCAAGAGGAGGCCAUCACGGCUAAUACUUGUCAAGGAGCACAAGGCCCUAAAGACUUUGGGCAUCAUCAUGGGGACAUUCACUGUGUGCUGGCUGCCAUUCUUUGUGGCCAACAUCAUUAAUGCUUUUAAGAAAGACAUUCCCGGGGAUGAUCUUUUUAGAUUGUUGAACUGGCUGGGUUACAUCAACUCUGGCCUCAAUCCCAUCAUCUACUGCAGGAGUCCAGAGUUUCGCACUGCAUUUAAGAACCUGAUGGGCUGUCCUUGGUUGUCCACCAUGUGGAUAAAUGCUUUCUAUAAGGAACUGAGGACCCGCUGCUCCUGCUUUCUGUGGCAAACAGACUCAGACACAAACGGCUCUUUGCACAAAUCUCCAAGUGGCAGAACUGAAGGCAGCAACAGUCUGGGCAGCCGAAGUGAGGAGGUUUCCCUUGGUCAUGUGCAAUCAAAUGGCAGCACGCAGCUGAGUGACAUCUCAGAACCAGAGCCCACAUUACAUCAAUGAAUGUACGUUACAAAGGAUAUUUAAAGGUUUCUAAAUGUCUUCCAUAAAAGGAGAGUGGUGUGGGCUGCUGUAAAUCACCCCAAGGGGAAGGCUUAGCCGGCUCACCCGGCGCUUUAAGUAGGAUAACAAAUUUACAUUUUACAAGAAAACCACGGAUGAGCUGUAAGAUGGACUUCUUCUCCAGAAGACUGUGAUUCCUGCAAAGUCUGACGCCAAACAACAGUGAACAGUGAAGACAAGCUAAAAGACACGAAUCCCAAUAGAGAAAGACAUUUAAGCACUGUGACUGCCUUUAAUAUUUUUUUUGUGGACCAGAUAUGGAAUGGUUCUUUGCAGACAUUUAAUGAAACCCUGUGAGCGCCUCAGUCAUUUACAUAUUGUUUACAAAAAAUGAAAAAAUAAACCCUUUGUAAGAAAAAUGCAAAUACUUUAUGAGUUCCUGAAAAUGCUCAGAUGAAAUGUACAGUGUGUUGCUUUCGGUUUCAAAAGUUUGUUAUCGUGUAAGAAUAUAUUAUCUAAUAAGUUAUAUAUUUAUUAUACACUGAAUCUGUAGCAAAGUACAAAGUUUGACUGGGCUGUCUUUAACUGUUGGAACCUUUUUAUGUAUUUUCAGUGUAGUAGUCAAACGUAUGUGCUAUUUCUUUAAACACUCUCUUACAAUCUAUUCAGUUCCAUGUCUGUUUAAGCCAGGGCUGCAUGUACGCACACACAGCUGAUCUUCAACCCCUUUCGGGGCUUCAUAUACGCACAAUUCAUCUUCAACCCCCUCUGGGGCUUCAUAUACGCACAGUUGAUCUUCAACCCCCUCAUCUAUCCUAAAUUAAAAUAUGGCUGGUAGAAAACUGCUGAUGAAAUUUAAAGCUAAGACACUUGUUAGAUAAUAUGGACAAGAGUUUGUCGUUGUAUAGAAUAGAACAAGGUACAGUAUUCUAAACUGCAAGAACAUGUAUGAAAAUGAAUUACUUUAUGCCAUGAUGUCAAACUUUUUGUGCCUUUUGUAAAGCGACUAUAUAAGCUCCAUAAGACACUAAAAUAAAGUAAAUAUAAAAAUUA